Small nucleolar RNA from Abrus precatorius (Indian licorice), 107 nucleotides. NCBI's taxonomy places the organism in Eukaryota, Viridiplantae, Streptophyta, Magnoliopsida, Fabales, Fabaceae. The record is from RefSeq and is a predicted model, not a curated record.
AAAUCAUGAUGCGGGCAUCUUCUGAACAGUUCCCCAAAUUGCUCCCACACCUCAAAUAAGAAUUCUGCUUCAUUUUGUUUGAAGCAACAUAUCUCCGUCAUAAGCUU